UUUCCACCUCUAACUCCCAAAGCUAGAAUUCUAAACUAAACUACUCUUUG
This 50-nucleotide transfer RNA is filed under the name Epinephelus akaara (Hong Kong grouper). RNAcentral describes it as "partial tRNA-Pro". Lineage: Eukaryota; Metazoa; Chordata; Actinopteri; Perciformes; Serranidae. The record is from RNAcentral.